UCGAGAAUCUUCGUCAAUGGGCGAAAGCCUGAACGAGCGACGCCGCGUGCGGGAUGAAGGCCCUUGGGUUGUAAACCGCUGUCGAGGGGGAUGAAGGCUUGAAGGUACUCCUUCAAGUUUGACAGAGCCCUGGAGGAAGCACGGGCUAAGUUCGUGCCAGCAGCCGCGGUAAUACGAACUGUGCGAACGUUAUUCGGAAUCACUGGGCUUACAGGGUGCGUAGGCGGCCAGACAAGUCAGGUGUGAAAGC
This 250-nucleotide ribosomal RNA is filed under the name uncultured bacterium. Its description in RNAcentral is "partial 16S ribosomal RNA". It matches the Rfam family "Bacterial small subunit ribosomal RNA", at positions 355 to 601 of the family's 1533-position model. The record is from RNAcentral.